GCCUUUGUGGUGUAAUGGUCAGCACACUGAGCCGGUAUUUCAGAGGUCCGUGGUUCAAUUCCCGGCGAAGGCG
This 73-nucleotide transfer RNA is filed under the name Stegodyphus mimosarum. It matches the Rfam family "tRNA". From Rfam's summary of the family: Transfer RNA (tRNA) molecules are approximately 80 nucleotides in length. Their secondary structure includes four short double-helical elements and three loops (D, anti-codon, and T loops). Lineage: Eukaryota; Metazoa; Arthropoda; Arachnida; Araneae; Eresidae. The record is from Rfam by way of RNAcentral.